Arachis ipaensis is the source of this 377-nucleotide non-coding RNA. The record is from RefSeq and is a predicted model, not a curated record. Lineage: Eukaryota; Viridiplantae; Streptophyta; Magnoliopsida; Fabales; Fabaceae.
GUUGCUGCUCCGUGUUCUCGGUUAAUCGUAAGUCCGGAUCGAGUUUCGGUUAUUGUAUGUUACAAUUCAAGCUGUUUCGGUUGUUGCGGAAGUGGAUAAAGCUGAGGUUACGGUUGCUGCUGUCGCUGGCCGAGGAAAAAGGGGUUUUUGACGCGUUUUGGUUUUGCGAGUUUCGACUUUGAGGAUAAUUUUUUUGGACUCGUAAAGACAAAAGGAGUUGACUAGUUGUUGUGGCACCCUGUAUAAGAUGGGAUGUGUCUUAUAAUGAGUUUGGUUAUCUAAAUGUAUUAUUUUGAUGUGUUCUUUACUUUUUGAUAAGAGACUUUAUCCGAUAUUAUAUGUAAUGGAUAAAUUACACUCUAUUUUGAUUAGUGUUG